Molecule: ribosomal RNA, 301 nt
Filed under: uncultured bacterium
Lineage: Bacteria
Description: partial 16S ribosomal RNA
Rfam family: Bacterial small subunit ribosomal RNA
Source: RNAcentral
CAGUAGCCGCGGUAAUACGUAGGGUGCAAGCGUUAAUCGGGAUUACUGGGCGUAAAGCGUGCGCAGGCGGUUAUAUAAGUCAGAUGUGAAAUCCCCGGGCUCAACCUGGGAACUGCAUUUGAGACUGUAUGGCUAGAGUGUGUCAGAGGGGGGUAGAAUUCCACGUGUAGCAGUGAAAUGCGUAGAUAUGUGGAGGAAUACCGAUGGCGAAGGCAGCCCCCUGGGAUAACACUGACGCUCAUGCACGAAAGCGUGGGGAGCAAACAGGAUUAGAUACCCGGGUAGUCCCUGUCUCUUAUAC